This 574-nucleotide long non-coding RNA is filed under the name Gallus gallus (chicken). RNAcentral's name for it is "long non-coding RNA NONGGAT006833". Lineage: Eukaryota; Metazoa; Chordata; Aves; Galliformes; Phasianidae. The record is from RNAcentral.
AGAAUCAAAAAACUAACAGAAUUUGUGGCAACAGGUGAAGCAGGGUUUCAGCUCCACCCUUCCCCACACGCAGGGAGUGCUUCAGAUGGAAAGCAGCCUGCUGUGUACCCCUGUGAGCAGUACUGGGAGCACCUCCUGUGGGUGUGGACACACCGUGCAUUCUGAGAGCAAAAUCUGCCAAUCAGGGCCAAUCACAUGAGUGAUUCUGCGGAGGCUGAAGCAGGAUUGCCGAACUCAUUGUCAUGCGUGGCUAAACAGAGAAUUGAACCUUGUGAAAGGUUAGUGAUUUUAGAUAAUUUUAAAACGAUUGCACAGGAGGUGAUACAGCUGCUGUCAGUCUACCCUAAUCCUGUUCUCCGCUGGAUCUGCCCUUGCAGAGGCACUGCUUUCUCUCAGUGAUUAAGGGGAGACAUUGCUUUCAGAGGUGCUGAUUCAGCAGAGCAAAGAGUCAGUAAAUUAGCAAUGACUGUAAGGGAAUUUUAAAUAUUGGUAGAGUACCAAACUUCUACUGUUAUAGUGUCUUGGAGAAGAAAUUCUAAUUAAGUUACUCUACCAGGAAGUGUGGGAGAGAUGA